UGGGGAAUUUUGGACAAUGGGCGAAAGCCUGAUCCAGCAAUGCCGCGUGUGUGAAGAAGGCCUUCGGGUUGUAAAGCACUUUUGUCCGGAAAGAAAUCCUCUGGGUUAAUACCUCGGGGGGAUGACGGUACCGGAAGAAUAAGCACCGGCUAACUACGUGCCAGCAGCCGCGGUAAUACGUAGGGUGCAAGCGUUAAUCGGAAUUACUGGGCGUAAGGCGUGCGCAGGCGGUUUUGUAAGACGGAUGUGAAAUCCCCGGGCUUAACCUGGGAACUGCAUUCGUGACUGCAAGGCUAGAGUAUGGCAGAGGGGGGUAGAAUUCCACGUGUAGCAGUGAAAUGCGUGGAGAUGUGGAGGAAUACCGAUGGCGAAGGCAGCCCCCUGGGCCAAUACUGACGCUCAUGCACGAAAGCGUGGGGAGCAAACA
This 427-nucleotide ribosomal RNA is filed under the name uncultured bacterium. RNAcentral describes it as "bacterial SSU rRNA". It matches the Rfam family "Bacterial small subunit ribosomal RNA", at positions 355 to 774 of the family's 1533-position model. The record is from RNAcentral.